GACGAACGCUGGCGGCGUGCUUAACACAUGCAAGUCGAACGGAAAGGCCCUGCUUUCGUGUGGUGCUCGAGUGGCGAGGGGGUGAGUAACCCGUGAGUAACCUUCCCUUGACUUUGGGAUAACUUCAGAAAACUGGGGCUAAUACCGGCUAGGUGCUCCUGCUGCAUGGUGGGGGUUGGAAAGUUUCGGCGGUUGGGGAUGGACUCGCGGCUUAUGAGCUUGUUGGUGGGGUAGUGGCUUACCCAGGCUUUGACGGGUAGCCGGCCUGAGAGGGUGACCGGCGACAUGGCGACUGAGAGACGGACCAGACUCCAACGGGAGGCAGCAGGGGGAAAUAUGGCACAGUGGGCGGGAGCCUGAUGAAGCAACGCCGCGUGCGGGAUGAAGGCCUUCGGGUGGUAAACCGCUUUCGGCUGUGACGAAGCGGGAGUGACGGUAAUGGGUAAAGAAGCACCGGCUAACUACGUG
This 468-nucleotide ribosomal RNA is filed under the name uncultured bacterium. RNAcentral describes it as "partial 16S ribosomal RNA". It matches the Rfam family "Bacterial small subunit ribosomal RNA", at positions 28 to 507 of the family's 1533-position model. The record is from RNAcentral.